AGAAAAUUAGUUAAUUAUAAUAUAAAAUUGUCAAUUUUAAGUUACUUCAAAGUAUUUUCUA
This 61-nucleotide transfer RNA is filed under the name Spirobrachia sp. YL-2014. Its description in RNAcentral is "tRNA-Asp". Lineage: Eukaryota; Metazoa; Annelida; Polychaeta; Sabellida; Siboglinidae. The record is from RNAcentral.